AUUUUGUCAGAGAGAGAAGCUAAUGUGGAACGAGUGUCUUGCAAUUUGGAAGAUUAAGAAUUUUCAGAAUAUGAGUAUCAUGUCUCUUACAGUGAGUUGGAAGAAGAGGAUGAGAUUGACCCUCAGCCAGCCCCAGGACCAGCCCGUCAGCAGCCAGCUCAUCAGCAGCCUGCAGGAGGAGAAAUAUUGAUGUAAAAAAAUUGUGAAAUUGAAUGGUCUUCUUGCCCAAGGAAUGAGCCACCCCGCAUGGCUGCCAAUGUGAUAAGGAUGCAACCAGGGCCGACACGGAUGGCGGUUCAGUUCUUUUGAACUGUUCAUCGCAGACACCAUCCAGAAAAUCAUUCUGGACUGCACUAAUUUGGAGGGAAGGAUUAUCUGCUUCGAUAACCGAAACACCAGAUCAGCUCGGCGGCAGAGAGACAAGCUAGCUGCAAUCAGAUGGAAGCGGGGUGAACAGGACAUGACUCGGGUGGCUGAGGUCCUUGAUAAUCUUCUUGGACUUCCUGUGACACCGGGUGCUUUAGAUGUCCUGGAUGGCUAGCAGUGUGCCACCAGUGAUGCGUUUGGAUGACCGCAACACCCUCUGGAGAGCCCUGCGGUUGCGGACGGCGCAAUUGCUGCAUCAGGUGGUAAUACAACCCGACAGGAUGCUCUCAAUGGUGCAUCUGUAGAAGUUUGUGAGGGUCUUAGGGACCCAGGAGAAUUCCUUCAGCCUCCUGAUUUUUUUAUUUAUUAGGAACCCCUUUAGCGACAGUUAGUCUUACUGGACCCCGACACAUAACGAAAAAGACAUUACAGACAAAAAAUACUUUACAGUUUACAUACUUUUAAAAACGUUAACAUGUAGUGUGUGUGUGCAUCGAUCAAUUACACACACAUGUCAAUACAUACACACAACAAGUAGGUCACAUGGGGGAGAGGCGUUGCUUUAUUUGUUUUUUGAAACCAGGUUUGCUGUUCACUUGCACUAUAUGAGAUGUAAGGGAGUUCCAUGCACUCAUGGCUCUCUAGAAUACUGUUCAUUUAGUCACAUAAUUUCUCAAUUUGCCGUAAGUCAGCCAGUCAGAUGUGCAGCCAGACAUAUUAGCCACUCCUUUUGCCCUAUCUCCUUCAGCCAUACAUUUCCUCAUCAAUCCAUGGAGCCUUAACAGAUCUAACAGUCAGUUUUUUUAACAGGUACAUGUUUAUCAAUAACUGG
RNAcentral lists this long non-coding RNA (1198 nucleotides) under Salmo salar (Atlantic salmon). Its description in RNAcentral is "lncRNA (ENSSSAG00000085284.1, ENSSSAG00000110330.1, ENSSSAG00020078732.1)". Lineage: Eukaryota; Metazoa; Chordata; Actinopteri; Salmoniformes; Salmonidae. The record is from RNAcentral.